This 66-nucleotide transfer RNA is filed under the name Pachylemur jullyi. RNAcentral's name for it is "tRNA-Cys". It matches the Rfam family "tRNA". Rfam says of the family: Transfer RNA (tRNA) molecules are approximately 80 nucleotides in length. Their secondary structure includes four short double-helical elements and three loops (D, anti-codon, and T loops). Further hydrogen bonds mediate the characteristic L-shaped molecular structure. tRNAs have two regions of fundamental functional importance: the anti-codon, which is responsible for specific mRNA codon recognition, and the 3' end, to which the tRNAs corresponding amino acid is attached (by aminoacyl-tRNA synthetases). tRNAs cope with the degeneracy of the genetic code in two manners: having more than one tRNA (with a specific anti-codon) for a particular amino acid; and 'wobble' base-pairing, i.e. permitting non-standard base-pairing at the 3rd anti-codon position. Lineage: Eukaryota; Metazoa; Chordata; Mammalia; Primates; Lemuridae. The record is from RNAcentral.
AGCCCUGAGGUGUAAAUCAUGUUGAAUUGCAAAUUCUAAGAAGCAGCUUCAAUUCUGCCGGGGCUU